Molecule: ribosomal RNA, 441 nt
Filed under: uncultured bacterium
Lineage: Bacteria
Description: bacterial SSU rRNA
Rfam family: Bacterial small subunit ribosomal RNA
Source: RNAcentral
AACGCGAAGAACCUUACCUAGCCUUGACAUGCAUUGGACCGACGUUGAAAGGCGUCUUUCCCGCAAGGGACCGGUGCACAGGUGCUGCAUGGCUGUCGUCAGCUCGUGUCGUGAGAUGUUGCGUUAAGUCGCGCAACGAGCGCAACCCCUGUCCUUAGUUGCCACCAUUAAGUUGGGCACUCUAGGGAGACAAACCCUCUUUGAGGGUGGGAAGGUGGGGAUGACGUCAAGUCAGGAUGGCCCUUACGGCUAGGGCUGCACACGUGCUACAAUGCCCGGUACAGAGGGAUGCAAGACCGCGAGGUGGAGCAAAUCCUCAAAACCGGGCCCAGUUCAGAUUGUAGUCUGCAACUCGACUACAUGAAGUUGGAAUCGCUAGUAAUGGCGUAUCAGCUACGACGCCGUGAAUACGUUCCCGGGCCUUGUACACACCGAGACGUA